Triticum urartu is the source of this 2872-nucleotide RNA transcript. It is a transcript of the gene named transcription factor MTB1, with no coding region annotated. Lineage: Eukaryota; Viridiplantae; Streptophyta; Magnoliopsida; Poales; Poaceae. The record is from RefSeq and is a predicted model, not a curated record.
CUGUGCACGUGACAGACUGACAGUGAGAGGAGCCGGUUCCUUCCCCACCAUUCCCGUACCUUUGUUUCCUCUUCCCCUAGCUAGUCUCGAGUCCUGACCUACCAAUCUCGACCUACAUCCCUACUCUUCCACCGCGUGCGCGCGUGGCCUACAAGCCGCCGCCGUGCCCAUAGCUCACAGCCGCCGGCUGACGCCCUCCCCAGACCCCUCCGCCCUCGCUGGCAUCGCCGUUCCUGUUCAUGCUCAUCGCGUCCCUGCUGUCCCGGUCCCGUCCGCAACCUUUGGCCAUCGGAUUUUGAGGUAGUGUACUGAUGAAGACAGAGAUUGAGGAGGAAGGCACCAGAGGGUCCUGGACUGAGGAGGACAAAUCCCUUUGUGCCUCUGUGCUGGGCUUAGAUGCCUUCACAUAUCUGACGAAAGGUGGAGGUGCCAUAUCUGAAAAUCUCGUAGCAGCGUCUGCGUUGGUGGGCUUGCAAAAUAAACUCCAGGACCUGGUUGAAGCUGAUGGUAAAAGCCUUCGUUGGAACUACGCCAUCUUCUGGCAACUCUCCCACACCAGAUCUGGUGAACUUGUCCUUGGCUGGGGUGAUGGAUCUUGCCGUGAACCCCAUGAUAAUGAGAUGAACUCGACUACUCGUGGUGAUAUUCAUGAUGCAUCUUCACUGAGCCAACAAAGGAUGCGUAAGCGAGUGUUAGAGCGACUGCAUACAGCAUUUGCUGGGGCUGAUGAGGAGGAUGAUGCUCUCAGAAUUGACCAGGUGACUGACACUGAGUUAUUCUUCCUAGCAUCCAUGUACUUUGCAUUUCCAUGUCAUGUAGGUGGCCCUGGGCAAGUGUUUGCAACAGGUGCACCCCUUUGGAUUCCUAACAAUCCGCACAAGGUUUCCCCCUCAAAUUAUUGCUAUCGUGGAUUCCUUGCAAGUGCAGCAGGAUUUAGGACUAUUGUGCUACUGCCAUUCGAAGCUGGUGUACUUGAGUUAGGCUCAAUGCAGAAUGUGCUUGAGAGUGCUGAAGCUCUGGAAACAAUAAGGUCUGUGUUUCUAGGGGCAAGCAGUAAGAAGGCAGCAUCUGAGAAGCAUGAUGAGAAUAGUUCUGCUCAAAUAUCACCCGGUUUGGCUAAGAUUUUCGGGAAGGAUUUGAAUCUGAGCCGACCUUUAGUCAACACGGGAGCAGUUCCAUUAAAAAUGAAUGAAAGGUCAUGGGAUAUGCAGAAGAAUUGUGGUGGUGAGAGCCUGUUGCUCCCCAAUGUCCGGAAAGGUUUGCAGAACUUCACAUGGAGUCAGGCUCGAGGCCUGAAUUCUCAUCAUCAGAAAUUUGGCAAUGGUAUUCUAGUUGUGAAAAGUGAGACUUCACAGCGUAGCAAUGGAGCUGCACAUAGCCCUGGAUUGAGCCCGUUUCAGCUUCAGAAUUCACAGCAGAUACUGACACAACCACCACCUCAGUCACAGACACCGAGGCAUAUAGAUUUUAGCGUAGGGUCUAGUUCAAAAUCUGGUGUUUUGACUUCACAAGCAGCUCUGUUGGGUGGGGAAAAUGGCAGUGUCGAUGGCUUGUGUAAGGAGCAAGUGGCCCCUGCAAUGGAGGGCCAGCCACCAAGAAAGAGGGGAAGAAAACCAGCAAACGGGAGGGUAGAGGCGCUUAACCAUGUUGAGGCUGAGCGCCAAAGGAGGGAAAAACUCAACCAGAGGUUCUAUGCACUGAGAGCUGUUGUUCCCAAUAUCUCAAAAAUGGACAAAGCAUCGCUCCUGGGAGAUGCCAUAACGCACAUCACUGAUCUCCAGAAGAAGCUCAAAGAGAUGGAGUCGGAAAGAGACAUGUUCUUGGAGUCUGGUAUGGUAGACCGCAGGGUCCAAACACCUAGGCCAGAAGUAGAUAUCCAGGUGGUGCAAGAUGAGGUUCUUGUUCGUGUAAUGUCACCUAUGGACAACUAUCCAAUAAAUAAUGUGUUCCAAGCUUUUGAAGAGGCACAAGUCAAAGUUGGUGAAUCAAAGAUCACAUCCAACAAUGGGAAAGUCAUGCAUUCCUUCGUUAUCAAGUCCCCUGGCUCUGAACAGCAAACAAGAGAGAAAUUGAUUGCUGCUAUGUCUCGUGCAAUGAACUCCAUGUAGAUUUAUAACUUGAUGCAUUAGAAGGCAGAUUGCUUUUCUAGUUGUGAACAGGUAGCAAUGGGACUCCUCAGUGUCCAUGUAAUUGCUACAUGACCACAGAAAGCUCAGAUUCUGACUUCGCAAAAUAAUCUGUGGGCAGAACUGAAUAUGUGGAUGGAUCAGGUGCUAGAGGAGAUGGUCUGGUCUUGUGCUCAUUUGGUCUGUGAGCAGCGGAAUGUCCAAGGUGCAUAUGGUUGUACAGGAGAGGUGAAGGAAGAAGUGAAGUGCAUCAAGGCCAUUACAGAGGCUGAUACAGAGGGAAGGCUAUCUUAUAGUCAUGUGUUAAGGGACAGCAGCAGCAGAUGACGGCGCGGGACGAAGAGGAUUUGUAUUUUCGAAACAGUUUCCAGUCUUCAGCAUUGCAGCGCCAAGAGCAAAAAGGACGGUGUUCAAGUAUGCUACUAGCAACGAUGACUGCUAAAGUUUGCACACAACGGUCAACAUCAAGCUUGCUACUGCAGCUCCAUCCAUCGGUACGUGAAUCCCAUCAAAGUAAUCUGGAUGCUAUGUUGUGCAUCCCCGAAGUUAUGGACACCCUUAGGUUCCUUGGUUUGCUAGGCACUAGCCGGUCGUUGAGCUGGUGAGGGGCUGUGAUUUAACUUCGGAUGGCCCUCAUCACGGGUCCUUAUUUUACUGUAAUGCUUGCUUGACGUGGUAUGGCAGAUGAAUCAUCUUGUGGAUUUUUUUUAUUUGAGAGAAGAUCUAUGGAUGGCCGUAUUACUUGU